AUGGCCACCUUCAGCCAUGUUUAUGGGACAGACCUGAGAGUUUACUGCAGCAGAGACCCCCCCAGCUUCAGCUCAGAGACAGAAGUCUUCCAGAGGGUCCAACAGCUGCUGCUGGCCUGCAGCACGGAGCUGGAAAUGCUGAAGGAAGCGUCAGAAGCUUCUGAGUCCGUGAGCGAGGAGGUGAAGCAGCUUCAAACGCAGCCUCGGUACUGGAGCCGAGCAGAGAAGCACACGUUACCUGAUCAACUGGAGAAGGUUAUCGGGCGAAUUGGAGGCUUUCUGUCUCAGCUUAGUUUAUAA
This 300-nucleotide long non-coding RNA is filed under the name Oreochromis niloticus (Nile tilapia). RNAcentral's name for it is "lncRNA (ENSONIG00000030736.1)". The record is from RNAcentral. Lineage: Eukaryota; Metazoa; Chordata; Actinopteri; Cichliformes; Cichlidae.